AAUGUCGUAAAAUAUCUAGGAGUAGUUUGUUACAGCGUAAAACAUGUCACUUCCUGUUGCCAGCAGGUGGCGCUAUAGCGAUAUCUGAAUAUUGGCAUGUAGAUAUAUUCAGGUCAGGAGUCUUCUCAAACAUGUGAAGUUUGGGGCAGAUUGGACAUUGUAUGUCUGAGUUAUAGCAACUUCCUUUCUCAUGGCGAAACAUCGAAAUUUGUAAGGCCGCCACAGACACGCCCUUAAACGAAACCUCAAGAUCUUCGCAAUUUAACAUCGCAAAGGCCUUUAGAUUACACAGACAAAGUUUGGUGUUGAUCUGAAUAAAUCUCUAGGAGGAGUUCGUUAAAGUACAACCCCUGAAAAUGGCAAAAACGACACAAAUUUUGCAGAGAAAAUUCAAAAUAACUGACUUCCUGUUGGGAUUCGAAUUUCGAACAAAGAGACUUUUUUGUAGGUAUUGGUGUGUUACAUGUGUGUACCGAUUUUUGUACAUGUACGUGAAACGUAGCUCGAGGCGCACUCCGUUGAAAAUGUAUAGGUGGCGCUAUCGAGGCAUUUU
Molecule: long non-coding RNA, 553 nt
Organism: Cyprinus carpio carpio
Lineage: Eukaryota; Metazoa; Chordata; Actinopteri; Cypriniformes; Cyprinidae
Source: Ensembl